CAGUCGCCACGGUAAUACGUAGGUGGCAGGCGUUGUCCGGAAUUAUUGGGCGUAAAGGGCGCGUAGACGGAUGGCACAGUCAGAUGUGAAAUUCCCGGGCUUAACCUGGGGGCUGCAUUUGAUACGUGUUGUCUAGAGUGAGGAAGAGGGUUGUGGAAUUCCCAGUGUAGAGGUGAAAUUCGUAGAUAUUGGGAAGAACACCGGUGGCGAAGGCGGCAACCUGGUCCUUGACUGACGCUGAGGCGCGAAAGCGUGGGGAGCAAACAGGAUUAGAUACCCCUGUAGUCCCUGUCUCUUAUAC
RNAcentral lists this ribosomal RNA (301 nucleotides) under uncultured bacterium. Its description in RNAcentral is "partial 16S ribosomal RNA". It matches the Rfam family "Bacterial small subunit ribosomal RNA", at positions 509 to 807 of the family's 1533-position model. The record is from RNAcentral.